This 206-nucleotide long non-coding RNA is filed under the name Gossypium raimondii (Peruvian cotton). RNAcentral describes it as "long non-coding RNA (GRAI_LNC007338)". Lineage: Eukaryota; Viridiplantae; Streptophyta; Magnoliopsida; Malvales; Malvaceae. The record is from RNAcentral.
GAAAACAUCCCAUGUAAGACUAUGUCUGGGACAUAGCUUUGGCAUGUAUCAUCAGACAAGAGACUCGAGUAUCCUUAGUAUUCCAAGUGAUUCAACGGGCUAGUAAAUAGACCAUGUUACAUGAAAGUUCAGAUAAAAGCAUAAUAAUAAAUUUAGGUGAGUUAUAAGGAUUGAGAAUAUCUCAGUUAUCAUUUGAGAAAGAAAUU